This is a non-coding RNA of Salmo salar (Atlantic salmon), 4700 nucleotides long. Lineage: Eukaryota; Metazoa; Chordata; Actinopteri; Salmoniformes; Salmonidae. The record is from RefSeq and is a predicted model, not a curated record.
CUUUCCAGACUUCUUUUUUUUUUUUACCAAACAGUGCUGCUUGCCAGUUUCGAUCAGCUGUACAGUAGUUAAAAACGAUUCUGUUAUAAACAUUUCCCAGAGGCACUAGCACUACAUAUUCGCUUUUGUAUAACAGCAGUGAUUUUAUUUGAAAACAAUGUCUAACACUGUUUCUUUCAGUACACAAAUAGCUGCAAUCAUGGAUGUGCUAUCAAAGGCAGCAGUUGCAGAAAUAACCAAACUUGUAGACGAGGGCACCGUCGUGCUACGUCUUGAAAUGUGUCGGAAAGAAAAUGAGAUAGAAGGCCUUCAAAAUAGUUUACAGCUGAUGGAAAGAGAACUGAGGAAAGCUCAAAGAGAAGCAGCAACACGAGUGACAAAUGACAGGCAACAUGCUGAGGGAAUUCGGGUUGGGAGUGGGACUCCACAAAAAGGUGAUGAAGAGAACCAAAAAGCCCAAGCCAUGCCUGUCGAGGACCCAGUAGAGAGCUUCAAUGAGCUGCAGAGGUCUGGACACCUUGAGGAGGUGAGGGAUGGACUGGAGUUUCUGGUGAAAGCAGAGCAGGUGGAAGAACAUGUAGCCCAGGGAACCAUACAAGAUCCAGGAAUCACAGACAGUGUGGACUUUAGAAUGGAUGAGAGAGAUAGUCAGCUGUGGUCCUCUGUUACACAAGGACUAAGUGGGAAUAAUUCAGGCCACCCAGAUGGGUCUUACUCUACAGGGAGAUGCUUACAGAUGUUCUCAUCUCAGGCAGAUCAAUAUCCCACUCCCAUCCCAGCCCAUCCUUCCUGUAACUCUUUGUCCAUUGUAGGGAAACCACUGGAUGACAUAUUCAGCACUGUCCCAGUGAAAGUGGAGCCUGAGAGGCAUCCUGUGUAUCAUGACGAUGCCAUGUCUGAGUCCAUACAUGUUGUGCAGGGGCAGUACAGAGAUACUCUGCAUCCUGUUGUGAGGGAGGGCUUGAUUUUACAUCCCAGACUGCAGCAGCCAGGACCUUCUUCACAUGUCCUCUUGAGAGCAACUGAGAGCACAUCAGAGUCACACUCACACAACCAAGAGCAUAUUCUUAAUAAGAACAGAUUGAAAACAAAGAGGAUGGUAAAUGUUUGGAGAGCUGUACCAAACCAAAAAGUGUUCAUCUGCUCAUUGUGUGGAAAGAGCUUCCACCGCCAUUGUCAACUUGAAGCACACCAGCACUCUCAUGCUGGAGUCAAGCCAUACAGAUGUCUUGAGUGUGGGAAAAGUUUUACUCAGAAACAAAGACUUAAGUCACAUCAGAGUGUUCACACGGGUGAGAGACCUUUCAGUUGCAGACUCUGUGGCAAGAGGUUUGCAAGGCAGGACAACUGCCAAACACAUGAGCGAUUUCACAGUGGACAAAAGCCAUUUAGUUGUGUGCUGUGUGGUAAAAGUUUCACAGUUCUCUGUAACCUCAAACUACAUCAAAAACAUCAAUGUGUCCACUGACCCAAGUGCGACUGUCAAAGAUGCUUCAAAAGUUGUUUUGGCCCGGAGGCUGAGACUUGCUGCUCCAGGCCCGGUUUAAGGUUAAGCUCAUCGUUAGAUCCUUCGUAGGAGCAUCGUUAAAUCUCUGAACUGUUUGCCUUACCCAGAGCUGCAAACUUUAACGCAUUGGCCGUGAGACACGCAUUUUAGCCUCUUCUCACGCAUCGAAAAGUACUGGUUUUAUUUUUCAAAUUUAUUUUUCAAAUUAGUCAUUUUCAACUGUGCUCUAAAUGGUUUUGAAAUCGGAGCAUCUGCACCUGCAAUUUAAUAACAUCACAAGCGGAACCUCUAUCAUUAUUGGCCUGUCUUGCCACGGCACUGUGAACUGCGGCACAUUAAAGCAUAUGAUUAGUCUAGUUAUGUAAAGGAUAAAGAUGAUUGGAUGCGUGUUUUAAAGAAGAAACACUCAAGAUUAAUGUGGCACUGAAUGGAGAGAGAGAGAGAACGUUCUCCGCGGAGUUUAUAAAACUGUUAAUAGAGCAACACGGUAGCGCUGUUUUAUGUACAAUGUUGUCAACAAAAUGAGUUUGCUGUUACUCCCGUCUCUAUUGCAGAAUGCAGCCUUUUGACAGCAUGUACUAAAGUUGAUUUAAUCCACACUUGUCCUCUCGUUUGGUGAUUGGCAUUUAGGCUGUGACAUCGAAAAGGCAGCAGAUAGAGACCGACAGCAUGUCAGCGGAAUGCAGCCUACCCUGUCCAUAGCUAAACUGCUACAGGAAAUGCGAUUACGCCCCCAUCCUUGACCGUGCGCACAGAAACAUACAGUCCACACGGAAGAAUGGAGAGUCGCCCAGACCCAUAGUAGUUAAAUUCCACUACCUUCAGGAGAAGGAUGUCUUCCGUAAGGCAGUGCGAGCGGCUCCCAUCACCCACGACGGCCGUAAUAUUCUCAUUUACUCGGACUACAUGGCGGCAGUCAUGAAGAAGUCAGCCUUCGAGGUUGGGUGCCGUGGGAGCUGGAGCCCUGUGGGUCUAUGGAGGUGAACCAGGAAAGUGCAGACAGGAAUUGAAAACUCAGUUCAUUUCAGUCUUUGGAUUGAAGUCUGACUAUUAAUUAUACUGCCUGUAUAAUUCAGUCUGGGCCUAGAACUGUCCCACUUCGAUUCAGGGCUACUCUGAAAACUGAUUUUCUCUCUGUAAAUGUCGUCCCUUUUGUUGCUAUUUUCAACCUAUUGACAUAACCUAACUUACAAUUUUAAUUUGGUUUCAAUCAAUAUGCAAAGGAUUGUCAAUUUACACCCAAGUAUGGAAAUGUCAGGUAUCACAUCUCAUGCAUAACCAUGGAUUUAAGGAUGAGCAACCACAUUUAACUUCUUAGGAGCAUUGUCUAGAGAUGUUUUGUCAUUAUUUGUAUCAAUUCCAUAAACCAAAGCAUUUUCUAUUUUUAACGGGUUUUGCGGAAAAAAAAAUGUUCUGCAGAGAACUGAUUGUCUUAUUUGUGUUUUCAAUUUUACAAGUAGCUAUUUAUGACUGAUUUCACAGAAAUAUCCACCUAUAAGGGCAUUUAUUAGAAAGUUUAUGGUAACCCUUUCUGUCGUCGUUUCCGUUAUCAAGCUUCCCGGAAGAGAACUUUUUUUCACAAACAAUGCUUCCAGCCAGCUUCAAGGAACUGUACAAUUGUAGAAACGAUUCUGUUAUAAACAUUUCACAGAAGCACUACAUAUUCGUUUUUGUGUAACAACGUAGAUUUAAAAAAAAAAAUUUUUAAACAAUGUCUGUUUCUUUCAGUACACAAAUAGCUGCCAUCAUGGACGUGCUAACAAAGUCAGCUGUUGCAGAAAUAACCAAACUUGUAGACGAGGGCACUGUAGUGCUACGGCUUGAAAUGUGUCAGAAAGAAAAUGAGAUAGAAGGUCUUCAAAAUAGUUUACAGCUGAUGGAAAGAGAACUGAGGAAAGCUCAAAGAGAAGCAGCAACACGAGUGACAGAUGACAGGCAAGAUGCUGAGGGAAUUCAGGUUGGGAGUGGGACUCCACAAAAAGGUGAUGAAGAGGACCAAAAAGCCCAAGCCAUGCCUGUAGAGGACCCAGUAGAGAGCUUCAAUGAGCUGCAGAGGUCUGGACACCUUGAAGAGGUGAGGGGUGGACUGGAGUUUCUGGUGAAAGCAGAGCAGGUGGAAGAACAUGUAGCCCAGGGAACCAUACAAGAUCCAGGAAUCACAGACAGUGUGGACUUUAGAAUGGAUGAGAGAGAUAGUCAGCUGUGGUCCUCUGUUACACAAGGACUAAGUGGGAAUAAUUCAGGCCACCCAGAUGGGUCUUACUCUACAGGGAGAUGCUUACAGAUGUUCUCAUCUCAGGCAGAUCAAUAUCCCACUCCCAUCCCAUCCCAUCCUUCCUGUAACUCUUUGUCCAUUGUAGGGAAACCACUGGAUGACAUAUUCAGCACUGUCCCAGUGAAAGUGGAGCCUGAGAGGCAUCCUGUGUAUCAUGACGAUGCCAUGUCUGAGUCCAUACAUGUUGUGCAGGGGCAGUACAGAGAUACUCUGCAUCCUGUUGUGAGGGAGGGCUUCAUUUUACAGCCCAGAAUGCAGCAGCCAGGACCUUCUUCACAAGGGCUUAUGAGAGCAACUGAGAGCACAUUAGAGUCACACAACCAAGAGCAUAUUCUUAAUAAGAACAGAUUGAAAACAAAGAGGAUGGUAAAUGUUUGGAGAGCUGUACCAAACCAAAAAGUGUUCAUCUGCUCAUUGUGUGGAAAGAGCUUCCACCGCCAUUGUCAACUUGAAGCACACCAGCACUCUCAUGCUGGAGUCAAGCCAUACAGAUGUCUUGAGUGUGGGAAAAGUUUUACUCAGAAAAAUAGACUUAAGUCACAUCAGAGUGUUCACACGGGUGAGAGACCUUUCAGUUGCAGACUCUGUGGCAAGAUGUUUACAAGGCAGGACAACUGCCAAAGACAUGAGCGAUUUCACAGUGGACAAAAGCCAUUUAGUUGUGUUCAGUGUGGUAAAAGUUUCACGGUUCUCGGUAACCUCAAAUUACAUCAAAAACAUCAAUGUAAAUUUGCCAAUGUCAGAAUUUAAGACUGCAUAUGUUGUAUAGUGUUUUCCUCAAUAUUGUACAGUUAAUGAACUGUUUACAUAUGUUAAUUGUUGAGCCUUUCAACUGUACUGAGACUUGCAGGUUUAGGUUUCCAAAUUGUAAUCGGUUUCUACAUUAUGAAUGAAGUAUUAAAGAUGUUAAUCCUUUUU